UACCAGCGGUCCAAGUCGCAGCCAUCAUUAUUGGGUCUAAAACAUCCGUAGCUUGUUUAAUAAGUUCCUUGUGAAAUCUGAUAUCUUAAAUAUCAGGCGCGCAAGGAGUACUGUUAAACUAGAGACUGGAAGACGUAGGAAGUACGUUCAAAGUAGUGGUAAAAUACGUUAAUCUUGGACGGACUCACAACAGCGAAGGCAUCCUACGAGGACAGUUCUGACAGUGAGGGAUGAAGGCUAGGGUCGCGAAACA
This 253-nucleotide ribosomal RNA is filed under the name uncultured archaeon. RNAcentral describes it as "partial 16S ribosomal RNA". It matches the Rfam family "Archaeal small subunit ribosomal RNA", at positions 474 to 726 of the family's 1478-position model. The record is from RNAcentral.